UGUCACCAUAGAAUACCGAUAUGAAUAAAACACUAAAAUUUCACAUUUUUUCGUGACACCCUAAAAAAUACAAAAAAUAUUAAUUCCUAAACGUCCGAGAAAUAUAAAAUAAUCAAGAAUAAGUCAAGAAAAUACCUCAAAAAAAUCUUGAAUCGCACUAGACACCAUAUAAUAUCGAUACGAAUAAAAUAUCAAACUUUCAUAUUUUUCGUGACUGCCUGAAAAUAUCAAAAUAUUUAAUUCGUAAACGUCCAAAAAAUAUAAAAAUCAAGAA
RNAcentral lists this long non-coding RNA (274 nucleotides) under Solanum tuberosum (potato). RNAcentral describes it as "long non-coding RNA (STUB_LNC000327)". The record is from RNAcentral. Lineage: Eukaryota; Viridiplantae; Streptophyta; Magnoliopsida; Solanales; Solanaceae.